GAGAAAGGAAGAGACCGGAGGGAGAGAGGGGCAGAGGAGCCAUGGCAGGACAAUAUGGCAGACGGUGGGAAGGCUUCGAAAGCAGAGACAUCCUCAACCAAUCAGAAGAACAAAAUGGGAGAGCCUGAGAAAAGGGCUGGAACCCACGGGAUCAGAUGCUUUGCCAAGAUAAAGGUGUUUCUGUUGGCGUUAACAUGGGCAUAUGCGUCCAAAGCACUAUCAGCAACUUACAUGAAUUCCAUGCUCACACAAAUAGAGAGGCGAUUCAAUAUUUCCACAUCUAUAGUUGGGCUUAUCAAUGGGAGCUUUGAGGAAACCUCUUGUUGAUUAUAUUCGUGAGUUAUUUUGGACGGAAACGGCACAGACCUAUCAUGAUUGGCAUUGGAUGUGCAGUCAUGGGCCUAGGAUGCUUCAUAAUCUCACUACCUCAUUUCCUCAUGGGCCGAUACGAAUAUGAAACAACAAUUUCACCUACAAGCAACUUGUCCUCAAACAGCUUCUUGUGUAUGGAGAACCGAACACAGACCUUAAAGCCAACACAAGACCCAGCAGAGUGUGUGAAAGAAAUGAAAUCAUUAAUGUGGAUAUAUGUACUGGUAGGAAACAUUAUACGUGGAAUUGGUGAAACUCCCAUCAUGCCUUUGGGUAUUUCCUACAUAGAAGACUUUGCCAAAUCAGAAAACUCUCCCUUUUACAUUGGGAUUUUAGAAGUUGGAAAGAUAACUGGCCCAAUAGCUGCAAUUUGGUUGGGAUCUUUCUGUGCAACCAUUUAUGUAGACAUGGGGUCUGUGAAUACAGAUGACCUGACCAUAACUCCCACAGAUACACGCUGUGUUGGUGCUUGGUGG
RNAcentral lists this long non-coding RNA (848 nucleotides) under Rattus norvegicus (Norway rat). RNAcentral describes it as "long non-coding RNA NONRATT021948". Lineage: Eukaryota; Metazoa; Chordata; Mammalia; Rodentia; Muridae. The record is from RNAcentral.